Non-coding RNA from Elgaria multicarinata webbii, 72 nucleotides. The record is from the annotation of a RefSeq genome assembly. Lineage: Eukaryota; Metazoa; Chordata; Lepidosauria; Squamata; Anguidae.
GGGGCCGUGGCUCAGGGGUAGAGCAUCUGCUUCCCAUGCAGAGGGUCCCGGGUUCGAUGCCCGGCAGCCUCU